UGGAGUCUCGCUCUGUCGCCCAGGCUGGAGUGCAGUAGUGCGAUCUCGGUUCACUGCAACCUCUGCCUCCCAGGUGCAAGCGAUUCUCCCGCCUCAGCCUCCCCAGCAGCUGGGACUAUAGGUGCAUGCCACCACACCCAGCUAAUUUUUUGUAUUUUUAGUAGAGAUGGGGUUUCACUGUGUUAGCCAGGAUGGUAUUGAUCUCUUGACCUAGUGAUCCGCCCGCUUCGGCCUCCAAAGUGCUGGGAUUACAGGCAUGAGCCACCGUGCCCAGCCUAAUUUUUGUAUUUUUAGUAGGUUUCACCAUGUUGGCCAGGCUGGUCUCGAACUCCUAACCUCAGCUGAUCUGCCUGCCUUGGCCUCCGAAAGUAUUUGGAUUACAGGCAUGAGUCACCGCAUCUGGCGGUAUUUUUGUUGAAAGCACAGUGUAUAAUAGGUUAUGGCCAGCCUACACGUGGCCUUGUAGGUGUCAGUUCUUGGCAGGGCCCAGUGAAUUCCAGGCAGGGGGCCAUCCUGACAUGCCUGCCACGUUAAGAUUUCAGACAUUAUCCCCUCCAGCAAGGGAGGAUCAGGGCUGUUGGCAUAACAAGCAUUCUGAGGGUUAGCUUGCAUACCAGUCUCUUCCCAAAUGCUGAGUUGCCCCAUGUAUCCUGUGACAUUUGAGAAUAGGCUUUCCUCAACUUGGCACAAUUUGCCUUUGGACCAAGUGCUUUGUCCUGUGCAUUCCUUGCUGGAUGUUGGCAUGCAUUCCUAGUGUCGUCCACUAGAUGGCAGUGGCACCCACCCCAGAGCUCAAAUAUUACUAUGUUCCGAUGCAGCCAGGGCUUGGCAGGGCUGGGUGGCCUCUGAGGGCCCCUACUGGCCAUUUUUCACCGUCUCCCUCUGUUGCCCAGGCUGGGGCGCAGUGAUGCAAUGACAGCUCACUGCAGCCUCGACCUCCUGGGCUCAAGCGAUCUUCCCACCUCAGUCCCCAGAGUAGCUGGGACUACAGGCAUGUGCUGCUACUCCUGGGUAAUUAAUUGUACUAAUUAAUAGUAGUUGGCUAAUUAGUAACAGUGGAGUCUUGCUAUGUUGCUUAGGCUGGUCUCUAACUCCUAGACUUAAGCAACCCAUCUUGCCUCCACCUUUGAAAGUACGGGGGUUACAGGCGUGAGACACCGCACCUGGCCCCUGUUGGGAUUUACCCCUCCUGUUAGGGGCCAUCAAACCUCUCUUAGUUGGUCAUCCCUUAAAGCUCCGUCAAACUUUUUUUUUUUUUUUUUUUGAGAU
RNAcentral lists this long non-coding RNA (1269 nucleotides) under Homo sapiens (human). RNAcentral describes it as "HSALNT0262111". The record is from RNAcentral. Lineage: Eukaryota; Metazoa; Chordata; Mammalia; Primates; Hominidae.